GGUUAGUCAACUGCUAGCUACCAGUGACAGUGAUAGAUAAGGACAUACAGCCAGAGGAAACAGUCAUACAACGCCUUAACAAGAUGUCUAGUGGUCCCUUCUCCUGCUUCUCCAAACAGGAAAUAUUCCUUCUCCAACCUCCACUAUGGUUCUUGUUGCAACAGAAUAUUCUGGCCCCACCAGCCCCAGAUGACCAACCUGGACCCCCAACAGGACCAACGAUCUACCCAGGGCCGAGCUCCUGAUGCUGGGUAUACAUGUCUGCAGCAUGAUGCUGGUGCUGCUACUGCUGGAUCAAGUGAUGUGAUGUACGCCCAGAUUCAACUCAAAAAGUUGGGCAAGAAAAAGAAAAAAACCCCACAUCAGGCAGAUUCGGUCUAUUCUCAAGUGAAUCCAGUCACAGCCCCAA
Molecule: long non-coding RNA, 409 nt
Filed under: Salmo salar (Atlantic salmon)
Lineage: Eukaryota; Metazoa; Chordata; Actinopteri; Salmoniformes; Salmonidae
Description: lncRNA (ENSSSAG00000091109.1)
Source: RNAcentral